GUAUGCUUUGGGGACGAAAGAGAGAAUGCUAAUUGGCGCGAUGGCUAGUGGUGUGUUGUAAUUUGUGCCCGAGGAGUUUGUGUGUAUUGGUUGGUGAAAUGUGAUUAUUUUAUUCCUAUUAACUUCAGUUUAGUGUCCAGUGAAGUGAAGUGUUGUAGAAAAUGUAGUGGUGUACAGACUCUAUCCCGAAACCGACUCAUCGAAAUUUUUUUGAUUUUGUUAAAUGUCAUCAUCUGUAGCAGUCGUGACUCGAGCGUGAUUUCACUUCAGACGUAGAGUUAAAUAAUGUCAUCGCUUCAGAAGAAAGUUCUUAAAACUAAUCUCCCUCCUUGCCCGUCUGUUGCAAGAAGGCGCCUUGCAGUGGGCAGUAAACGUGAUUACGCUCCCACAAAAUGGAAUAAAUAUUUCAGUGAAUAUGAAGAUGUGCAUGUUCGAGAAAACACAUUUCGUGUGUAUAAGCGAGGUGACAGUGGUCCUGCUUUGGUUUUAUUACAUGGUGGAGGAUUCUCUGCACUUACUUGGGCAGUCUUUUCAGCAUCGGUGACAAACUUGGUUGCGUGCCGAGUUCUGGCUAUUGACCUGAGGGGCCAUGGCGACAGUGAAACGACAGAUGAUGAGGACCUGUCUGCUAAGACAAUGGCAAGUGACGUUGGAGAUACUAUAAGCAUGCUGUAUGGCACUGAUGCUCCCCCAGUAAUUUUGAUUGGACACAGCAUGGGUGGGGCAAUUGCAGUUCAUGUUGCUGCUGCUGAUUUAAUACCAUCACUUUGUGGACUAGUGGUAAUAGAUGUUGUUGAAGGGACUGCUAUGGAUGCUCUUACAAGUAUGCAGAGUUUCUUACGUAGCCGCCCCACUGGGUUCAAAUCAAUAGAACAAGCUGUCGAAUACAGUGUUCGUAGUGGACAAGUCAGAAAUUUGGAGUCAGCUAAAGUUUCUAUGCCUGGCCAAAUAAAGAACUGUGUUACUAACAAGGCAGCUACAAAUGACCUUAAUUUGUAUGAACCUUCAGAGGAAUCACUCGUUGCUGAGAUAUUAUCUUCCGAGAAUGUUAUCCAAGAAGAACCAAGUGGAGAAGAAAAUGACAACACUUCUUGUAGUGGUACAAAUGCAACUCAUCGUACCAAAGACUCUUCAGAUACAGAUGAUACGUGGGAACAACAAAGCUGUUCUGUCCAAGAAAAGAAACGCAGUAGAACAGCUGACAAAUAUACGUGGCGAAUAGACCUAGCAAAGACAGAGAAAUAUUGGUCUGGAUGGUUCAAAGGACUGUCUAACAUUUUUUUGAAUUGUCCAGUGCCAAAAAUGUUAUUGUUGGCUGGAAUAGAUAGGCUGGACAAAGAGCUCAUGGUUGGGCAAAUGCAAGGUAAAUUCCAGUUGCAAGUUUUGGGACAGUGUGGCCAUGCUGUGCAUGAAGAUGUUCCAGAAAAACUAGCAGAUAUAAUGGCAUCAUUUAUGGUGAGAUAUAAAUUUGCAGAGCCAACAGCAAACUUUCAGCGGACUUUCCCUGCAUGCUAAAAAAUAAGAAAGAGUACAAGAAGACAAGAAACUGGGAAAUGCAAUGUGUUCUGAGGUGGAGAAAUUGGCUGACAGUUCUGCUCUCAGAAGAUGCAUUUGAUGCAGAAGUUCUUCCAGCUCCUUUGGGUAAAGCUUUUUAUCUCUGCAAGUACACAGCU
This 1673-nucleotide unclassified non-coding RNA is filed under the name Schistocerca americana (American grasshopper). RNAcentral's name for it is "protein phosphatase methylesterase 1, transcript variant X3". Lineage: Eukaryota; Metazoa; Arthropoda; Insecta; Orthoptera; Acrididae. The record is from RNAcentral.